GCCUAAAGCGUCCGUAGCCGGCUCUGUUAGUUUUCGGUUAAAUCCAUAUGCUCAACAUAUGGGCCGCCGGGAAUACUACAAAGCUAGGGAGUGGGAGAGGUAGACGGUACUCCGUAGGAAGGGGUAAAAUCCUUUGAUCUAUGGAUGACCACCAGUGGCGAAGGCGGUCUACCAGAACACGUUCGACGGUGAGGGAUGAAAGCUGGGGGAGCAAACCGGAUUAGAUACCCGGGUAGUCCCAGCUGUAAACUAUGCAAACUCAGUGAUGCAUUGGCUUGUGGCCAGUGCAGUGCCGCAGAGAAGUCGUUAAGUUUGCCGCCUGGGAAGUACGUACGCAAGUAUGAAACUUAAAGGAAUUGGCGGGGGAGCACCACAAGGGGUGAAGCCUGCGGUUCAAUUGGAGUCAACGCCAGAAAUCUUACCCGGAGAGACAGCAGAAUGAAGGUCAAGUUGAAGCCUUUACCAGACAAGCUGAGAAGUGGUGCAUGGCCGUCGCCAGCUCGUGCCGUGAGGUGUCCUGUUAAGUCAGGUAACGAGCGAGAUCCUUGCCUCUAGUUGCUACCAUUACUCUCAGGAGUAGUGGGGCGAAUUAGCGGGACUGCCGUAGUUAAUACGGAGGAAGGAGAGGGCCACGGCAGGUCAGUAUGCCCCGAA
Molecule: ribosomal RNA, 654 nt
Filed under: uncultured archaeon
Lineage: Archaea
Description: bacterial SSU rRNA
Rfam family: Archaeal small subunit ribosomal RNA
Source: RNAcentral